Molecule: ribosomal RNA, 451 nt
Filed under: Diaphorodoris lirulatocauda
Lineage: Eukaryota; Metazoa; Mollusca; Gastropoda; Nudibranchia; Onchidorididae
Description: partial 16S ribosomal RNA
Rfam family: Bacterial large subunit ribosomal RNA
Source: RNAcentral
AGCCUAAAGAUAAUACUAUUUUAGGUUAAACCUGCCCAAUGUGUUAUUAUUUUAAUGAAUGGCCGCGGUACUUUGACCGUGCUAAGGUAGCGCAAUCAAUUGGCUUUUAAUUGGAGCCAGGUAUGAAUGGAAUUACGUGGUUUAGCUGUCUCUAAGCUAAUAUAUUGAAAUUACUAUGCAGGUGAAAAAGCCUGUUGAAAGAAAAAGGACGAGAAGACCCUUAGAGUUUUACUUACAUAGAAUAUGUUUUCUGUUCAGUUUUGUUGGGGCAACAAAGGAGCAGGAUAAAUUAAUCUCCUUAUUUUAAUACUAACCGAUUAUAAUAAAAAUGUAUAAACUACCUUAGGGAUAACAGCAUAAUUUUAAAAAUAAGUUUGUGACCUCGAUGUUGGACUAGGAAAUUUAAAGGCUAGCCGCCUUUAAAGAAAGUUCUGUUCGAACUAUUAUUCCU